CAAUAGCGUAUAUUAAAGUUGUUGCGGUUAAAAAGCUAGUAGUUGGAUCUCGGCAGGCAGGGGGUGGUUCGCUCUUAGCGCUACUGCCCCAUUUGCCUGUGUGAUUGGCGGAGGUUUCGGGGUGCUCUUCGUUGAGUGACCCGGGGCGCCGUCAGGUUUACUUUGAAAAAAUUAGAGUGCUCAAAGCAGGCUUUUCACGCUUGAAUAUUCGUGCAUGGAAUAAUGGAAUAGGAACUCGUUUCUAUUUUGUUGGUUUUCGGAAAUCGAGUUAAUGAUUAAUAGGGACAAUUGGGGGCAUUAGUAUUCAGACGACAGAGGUGAAAUUCUUGGACCGUCUGAAGACUAACUACUGCGAAAGCAUUUGCCAAGAGUGUUUUCAUUAA
This 383-nucleotide ribosomal RNA is filed under the name uncultured eukaryote. RNAcentral's name for it is "partial 18S ribosomal RNA". It matches the Rfam family "Eukaryotic small subunit ribosomal RNA", at positions 592 to 976 of the family's 1831-position model. The record is from RNAcentral.